AUUGAACGCUGGCGGCAGGCUUAACACAUGCAAGUCGAGCGGGGGAAGGUAGCUUGCUACUGGACCUAGCGGCGGACGGGUGAGUAAUGCUUAGGAAUCUGCCUAUUAGUGGGGGACAACAUCUCGAAAGGGAUGCUAAUACCGCAUACGUCCUACGGGAGAAAGCAGGGGAUCUUCGGACCUUGCGCUAAUAGAUGAGCCUAAGUCGGAUUAGCUAGCUGGUGGGGUAAAGGCCAACCAAGGCGACGAUCUGUAGCGGGUCUGAGAGGAUGAUCCGCCACACUGGGACUGAGACACGGCCCAGACUCCUACGGGAGGCAGCAGUGGGGAAUAUUGGACAAUGGGGGGAACCCUGAUCCAGCCAUGCCGCGUGUGUGAAGAAGGCCUUAUGGUUGCAAAGCACUUUAAGCGAGGAGGAGGCUACUUUAGUUAAUACCUAGAGAUAGUGGACGUUACUCGCAGAAUAAGCACCGGCUAACUCUGUGCCAGCAGCCGCCGUAA
This 501-nucleotide ribosomal RNA is filed under the name uncultured bacterium. RNAcentral describes it as "partial 16S ribosomal RNA". It matches the Rfam family "Bacterial small subunit ribosomal RNA", at positions 30 to 523 of the family's 1533-position model. The record is from RNAcentral.